CAAAGACGAAAAACACUUACCUUGAAUACUUUGUCGUGGCUUAGGCAUGUUUUUAAACCAAUUAGACCAGUUUAUGCUUCAAUAUUACUCUAUUGAAGCGGAAAAUAUAGCGAAACAACAAAAAUCUGAACAUUUUCGAAAUACACAUGACGUCACAGAUUGCAACUAGGUUUAGACUGUGACGUCAGGAAGUUUCCUAUCCAGUUAUUUUACAAUCCAUGGUAUUAAUAAUACUCGAAUGUUUGGUCAUUCUCACGCCAGGCAAUAUUUGGCAGUCUCUACGCCAUAUGAACGUUCCUUUAUUACACUGCUUAACGUCUUAUCAACAGGUAAAAUGUAAAGGACAUUAACUGAGUGGUGUGUUAAUUCUUAAGAAAAUGACAUUGGGCCAUUGGCCAUACUAAAAAUUGCGAUUACUGUAAUAUUUUUGUCCAUGUAGAAUGUACUGAAACGAAGAUAGACCUUCGGACAGUUGUUCAACAUAUAUGUACGGCUUUACAUUUGUCUGUUGAUAAGGAGUUUACAUUAAAUAAAACAGAACACAACUGUUUUGCGUCCAA
This is a non-coding RNA of Paramuricea clavata, 560 nucleotides long. NCBI's taxonomy places the organism in Eukaryota, Metazoa, Cnidaria, Anthozoa, Malacalcyonacea, Plexauridae. The record is from the annotation of a GenBank genome assembly.